RNAcentral lists this unclassified non-coding RNA (231 nucleotides) under plant metagenome. Its description in RNAcentral is "partial contains small subunit ribosomal RNA, internal transcribed spacer 1, and 5.8S ribosomal RNA". The record is from RNAcentral.
UCUCCGUUGGUGAACCAGCGGAGGGAUCAUUACAGAGUUGCAAAACUCCCAAACCAUUGUGAACGUUACCUAUCCCGUUGCUUCGGCGGAAGUCCCGGGCCCCGCGCCCGGCGCCCCCCGGCCCCCCGUGGGCGCCCGCCGGAGGUAAACCAAACCCUUUAAUCGCAUGGCCUAUCUGAGUCUUCUGUACUGGAUAAGUCAAAACUUUCAACAACGGAUCUCUUGGUUCUG